This 1554-nucleotide ribosomal RNA is filed under the name Klebsiella pneumoniae. RNAcentral's name for it is "16S ribosomal RNA". It matches the Rfam family "Bacterial small subunit ribosomal RNA". Lineage: Bacteria; Pseudomonadati; Pseudomonadota; Gammaproteobacteria; Enterobacterales; Enterobacteriaceae. The record is from RNAcentral.
AGAGUUUGAUCAUGGCUCAGAUUGAACGCUGGCGGCAGGCCUAACACAUGCAAGUCGAGCGGUAGCACAGAGAGCUUGCUCUCGGGUGACGAGCGGCGGACGGGUGAGUAAUGUCUGGGAAACUGCCUGAUGGAGGGGGAUAACUACUGGAAACGGUAGCUAAUACCGCAUAACGUCGCAAGACCAAAGUGGGGGACCUUCGGGCCUCAUGCCAUCAGAUGUGCCCAGAUGGGAUUAGCUAGUAGGUGGGGUAACGGCUCACCUAGGCGACGAUCCCUAGCUGGUCUGAGAGGAUGACCAGCCACACUGGAACUGAGACACGGUCCAGACUCCUACGGGAGGCAGCAGUGGGGAAUAUUGCACAAUGGGCGCAAGCCUGAUGCAGCCAUGCCGCGUGUGUGAAGAAGGCCUUCGGGUUGUAAAGCACUUUCAGCGGGGAGGAAGGCGNCGAUUGACGUUACCCGCAGAAGAAGCACCGGCUAACUCCGUGCCAGCAGCCGCGGUAAUACGGAGGGUGCAAGCGUUAAUCGGAAUUACUGGGCGUAAAGCGCACGCAGGCGGUCUGUCAAGUCGGAUGUGAAAUCCCCGGGCUCAACCUGGGAACUGCAUUCGAAACUGGCAGGCUAGAGUCUUGUAGAGGGGGGUAGAAUUCCAGGUGUAGCGGUGAAAUGCGUAGAGAUCUGGAGGAAUACCGGUGGCGAAGGCGGCCCCCUGGACAAAGACUGACGCUCAGGUGCGAAAGCGUGGGGAGCAAACAGGAUUAGAUACCCUGGUAGUCCACGCCGUAAACGAUGUCGAUUUGGAGGUUGUGCCCUUGAGGCGUGGCUUCCGGAGCUAACGCGUUAAAUCGACCGCCUGGGGAGUACGGCCGCAAGGUUAAAACUCAAAUGAAUUGACGGGGGCCCGCACAAGCGGUGGAGCAUGUGGUUUAAUUCGAUGCAACGCGAAGAACCUUACCUGGUCUUGACAUCCACAGAACUUNNNNNNNNNNNNNNNNNNNNNNNNNNNNNNNNNNNNNNNNNNNNNNNNNNNNNNNNUUGGUGCCUUCGGGAACUGUGAGACAGGUGCUGCAUGGCUGUCGUCAGCUCGUGUUGUGAAAUGUUGGGUUAAGUCCCGCAACGAGCGCAACCCUUAUCCUUUGUUGCCAGCGGUUAGGCCGGGAACUCAAAGGAGACUGCCAGUGAUAAACUGGAGGAAGGUGGGGAUGACGUCAAGUCAUCAUGGCCCUUACGACCAGGGCUACACACGUGCUACAAUGGCAUAUACAAAGAGAAGCGACCUCGCGAGAGCAAGCGGACCUCAUAAAGUAUGUCGUAGUCCGGAUUGGAGUCUGCAACUCGACUCCAUGAAGUCGGAAUCGCUAGUAAUCGUAGAUCAGAAUGCUACGGUGAAUACGUUCCCGGGCCUUGUACACACCGCCCGUCACACCAUGGGAGUGGGUUGCAAAAGAAGUAGGUAGCUUAACCUUCGGGAGGGCGCUUACCACUUUGUGAUUCAUGACUGGGGUGAAGUCGUAACAAGGUAACCGUAGGGGAACCUGCGGUUGGAUCACCU